This 2778-nucleotide long non-coding RNA is filed under the name Mus musculus (house mouse). RNAcentral describes it as "long non-coding RNA chr11:79396203-79398981". Lineage: Eukaryota; Metazoa; Chordata; Mammalia; Rodentia; Muridae. The record is from RNAcentral.
UGCCUCUGCCCCCUGAGUUCUGGGAUCAAGAAGGGUCUUUACUGUCAUGUUCAUCUGAGAAUAUGGAUAUUUAAAAUCUUGGCAGUAGGAAGUUUUCUUUUUUCUUUUUCCUUCCUCCCUUCCCUUCCUUCCCUUCCCUUCCCUUUCCCUCUCUCCCUCCCUCCCUCCCUCUCUUUCCUUUUUUUUUUUAAAGAUUUUUUAAAAAGUUAUUUUAUGUAUAUGAGUGCUCUAACUGCAUAGAGACCUGCAUUCCAGAAAAGGACAUGGAAUCACAUUACAGAAGGUUGUGAGCCAUUAUGUGCUUGGUGGGAAUUGAACUCAGGACCUCUGGAAGAGCAGCUAGUGCUCUUAACCAUCUCUUAACCGAGCCAUCUCUCCAGCCUGGGAAGUUUUCUUGAGCUACAAGUUUUGCUUUUAAUAAGGAGAAUGUUAUCCUUUUAGAAUUUGAUCCCUUAAGUGACUCUAGGUCGCAGAAUCAAUUUGUUUGGUUGUCCAGGUGCUUGAAGAACAUGGCCUUGAGCUGCUGGAGUAGUGUAUGCCUGUAAUCCCAGCACAUGGGCAGAUGAGGAAGGAGAGUUCAAGACCAGUUUGAGCUAUGUAGUGAGUUCAGUGUCAUGAUGGGCUAUAGAGGAAGCCCUGGUCUCCAGAAAAGUAACAAACGAACAACUCCCUCCACAUCAAAGGACGGAGUGAAAAUCUCAAACAGUGGCUUAAUUUCUGACCUGAGAGACUGAGCUUGAGUUAUGUAAGCUAUGAGAAGUUUUAAUAGUUGUGUAAUACAGUUUUCAAAAUACUUAAUAUUACAAAACAUGCUAUUAAGCUGGAUGUAGUUAUAUACACCUUUAAUUCCAGCACUUGGGAGCAGGAGCAGGCAGAUCUUGUGAGUUUGAGACCAGCCUGGUCUACAGAGCUCCAGAACAGCCAGGUUUCUGUAGAGAGACCCAAUCUCAAAGAAACAAAAACAAAAGCAAUACAGUGACAGAAAACUUUUUUCUUUUUUGCCUUUAAUUUAGUACACAAAUUUUACAUGUGUUCAUGGAAUCUUGAAUUCUUUGAAAGUCAGUUUUAAGAGAAAAAAGUUUAUAGACAUGAGUGUCUACUAUUUAAAAAGUCAGAAAUAUCCCAGAUAACCUAAUGAUAACCUCAAGGUCUUAGAAAAGCAAGAACAAUCCAGAUUCAGCAGCAGGGGACAGCUGGAAGUAACGAUGGUCAGAGCAGAAAUCAGUGAACUGAAGGAUGAAAGAACUGUGUAGAGGGAAACAGAGAGUCGGCUCCUGGAAAGUUCAGCAGGAUUGGCAAGUCCUGGCUUGUCAAGACUCCAUCAAAUUAGAGAUGAACAAGCUGAGUUAACUACAGGUCCUAGUGAAGUGCAGAGAAGGAGGGUAUAUUCUAAAUAGUUGGUAAACCUAGAAAAAAAAUGGGUAAAUUCUUAGGUCUAUCAAAACUGAGUCAGUAUGGUAUUAACAGCCUCAAUAGAUGCAUAGCAAUCAAAGACAUUGAAGCAGCUAUAAGGCAAUUCAAGUAGUAAUAAAAGAUCUCCCAACAAAGAAUGCAAGAGCAGAUGGAAUCCACUGCCGAAGUCAAACAAAAAUUUCCUUUACAGAAAAAUAGCAAAGGAAGGAGUACUACCAUUCUGUGAAGCCAGCAGUACAGUGAUAAAUACGCAACAAAAAGAAAACUUGAAUUCUCAACAGAACUCCAGAAGCAAAACUCCAGAACACUGUGGUUUCCUUCCAGGGAUGCAGUGUUGGUUUAACACAACAUAGAAUAAACCAUAGAGUAAACCAGCAUGUAGGUUUACGAGCAGAAAUUACCCGGUAAUCACAGGUGAUCAGAAAAGGCCCUUGCUUCAGAAGUUCAGCAUUCCUUUAUAAUAAAAGCUCAGCGGGCAUAAAUGAAUGCACCAAAACAUAAAAAAGGAUGCAUAUGAAUAAAACCCAUAGCCAACAUUAUACUAAUUGAGGGGAAAAUAGGAGAAGUUCCUCCAAAAUCUAGAAUGAGAUUAAGGUUCAGACUUUGUGUGGUGCAGACUUUUAAUGCCAGUACUCAGAAGGCAGAAGCAGGUGGAUCUCUUUGGUUUAAGCCUAGUUUGAUCUAGUUCCAGGCCAGCUAAAACCAUAUAUUGAAACACUGCAUCAAAAACAACAGCAAAACAAAAACAAACAACCUAAAAGUUUCCAGUUCUCUUUUAGAACUUAGUUUAGUAUGCCAAAUCUUACCUAGGGCAGUAAGUCAAGAGAGAGCAACAAAAGGAAUUCAGAUGGGGAGCAAAAGUCCAAUUUCCCCAGUGCUGAGGCAACAUGUCUUGUUUCACAGCAGAACUGAGGUGGGAGCUCCCCCUGCUGGCUAGUUUUCACAGUGCAGAAGUUGUAUGUGGGAGACUGGAGGAGAAAGGCAUUAAUGAGGAUCGCACCGCAGAGAUCUCUGCCACCCAUAAUACCAACUUGUAGGCAAGAUGUACUCAUUGCAGUAGUGGCACAACCAUACGGAAACAACCAGAUGCUCUGUGCUUGGUUUUGAAGCCUGUUCCCCAAGAGGGAGUCCAUGCCUGGAACUGUGAACCUAGUUAACUUCCUAUGCCUGAGGUCUUUGACCCUGGAAGGGAACUUACUGUUGUUGUUUAGUUAAAUUGAUAAAGCGCCAAGCUGCCUUUAAAAUACUUAGGUUUAUGUUCGUGAGUUAAACACUACUUUGAAAAGUAUAAUGAAUAAGGAAAAUUUAGAGUCACAUGGCUGCUGAAGAUACUGAGAGUAAGUAGUGGGCAAGUGCUCAGCCCUC